RNAcentral lists this ribosomal RNA (492 nucleotides) under uncultured bacterium. Its description in RNAcentral is "partial 16S ribosomal RNA". It matches the Rfam family "Bacterial small subunit ribosomal RNA", at positions 29 to 507 of the family's 1533-position model. The record is from RNAcentral.
AGUGAACGCUGGCGGUAGGCCUAACACAUGCAAGUCGAACGGCAGCACAGUAAGAGCUUGCUCUUACGGGUGGCGAGUGGCGGACGGGUGAGGAAUACAUCGGAAUCUACUUUUUCGUGGGGGAUAACGUAGGGAAACUUACGCUAAUACCGCAUACGACCUACGGGUGAAAGCAGGGGAUCUUCGGACCUUGCGCGAUUGAAAGAGGCGAUGUCGGAUUAGCUAGUUGGCGGGGUAAAGGCCCACCAAGGCGACGAUCCGUAGCUGGUCUGAGAGGAUGAUCAGCCACACUGGAACUGAGACACGGUCCAGACUCCUACGGGAGGCAGCAGUGGGGAAUAUUGGACAAUGGGCGCAAGCCUGAUCCAGCCAUACCGCGUGGGUGAAGAAGGCCUUCGGGUUGUAAAGCCCUUUUGUUGGGAAAGAAAAGCAGCAGGUUAAUACCCCGCUGUUCUGACGGUACCCAAAGAAUAAGCACCGGCUAACUUCGUG